Molecule: long non-coding RNA, 425 nt
Filed under: Elaeis guineensis (African oil palm)
Lineage: Eukaryota; Viridiplantae; Streptophyta; Magnoliopsida; Arecales; Arecaceae
Description: long non-coding RNA (EGUI_LNC038347)
Source: RNAcentral
CUUUUCUAUCAGAAAGAGGGUUCUUACUGGGGCUUAUGGAGGAUUGAGGGGGACCUUGAGCAGAUACUGGAGUGGGAGCAGUGGAAGUCUGACUAGCUUGCCUUUUCUUUCGGACAAUUUUUUCAGGCUCACGGAUUGACUUUCUUCUUUAGGGAAGUUUCAUCUUCGGAGCCAUAUUCAAUAUAGUAGCAGGCAAGGAGACUUGAAUUGAGUGGAGGAGGGAUCACAAGAGAGUAAAGAGGGAUUUUGGUGGAGAAAAGAAGUGGAUUUGGGAAGAUCGAUGAAGUGCUAGGGCACGUUCCAACCGCGCCAAACAAUGCGAGACAGCUCAAAAAAUCCCUUUCCAAGGUAGCGAUUUUUGGUGGAGAGGAGGAGGGAGAAGUGCUUCGAAUUGGAUCCUUGGAUUUGUAGCAAAAGAAUUGGAG